UAAAUACUCCCUCCGUCCGCAAAUACUUGUCAUCAAAAUGAAUAAAAGGAGAUGUAUCUAGAUUUAUUUUAGUUCUAGAUACAUCUCUUUUUAUCCAUCUUGAUAACAAGUAUUUUCGGAUGGAGAGAGUACCAA
This is a non-coding RNA of Triticum aestivum (bread wheat), 135 nucleotides long. Lineage: Eukaryota; Viridiplantae; Streptophyta; Magnoliopsida; Poales; Poaceae. The record is from Rfam.